AAGCAUUCAAAAAUUUCCUUCACCCUUUUCUCUUUUCCAAAUUGCUACACCAAUCCAUACAACUUUUUAGCACAAUGUUAUUCUGUCUGUUUUUCAAGUGUUUUUCCUUUUUUAUUUUCUUCUCUUUUUCUUUUAUUUUUCAUUUAUUUCUUUCUUUUUCAAUCUUUUUCUUUUUCUCAAUCUCUUAGCAACCAAUAUUUCUUCUCCCAAACUUAAAUACAACCAAUCAUGUAAUGUGAAUGCUCCCAAACUUUAAGGUAAGGGUAGAAAUUCA
Molecule: long non-coding RNA, 274 nt
Filed under: Lathyrus oleraceus (garden pea)
Lineage: Eukaryota; Viridiplantae; Streptophyta; Magnoliopsida; Fabales; Fabaceae
Description: Pisum sativum (pea) long non-coding RNA (PSAT_LNC041671)
Source: RNAcentral